Molecule: ribosomal RNA, 459 nt
Filed under: uncultured Treponema sp.
Lineage: Bacteria; Pseudomonadati; Spirochaetota; Spirochaetia; Treponematales; Treponemataceae
Description: partial 16S ribosomal RNA
Rfam family: Bacterial small subunit ribosomal RNA
Source: RNAcentral
ACGGAAGGCAGCAGCUAAGAAUAUUCCGCAAUGGACGAAAGUCUGACGGAGCGACGCCGCGUGGAUGAUGAAGGUCGGAAGAUUGUAAAAUCCUUUUAAGCAUGAAGAAUAAGCGGAACAGGUAAUGGUUCUGUGGUGACGGUAGUGCUUGAAUAAGCAACGGCUAAUUACGUGCCAGCAGCCGCGGUAAUACGUAAGUUGCGAGCGUUGUUCGGAAUUAUUGGGCGUAAAGGGCAUGUAGGCGGAUAUGCAAGCUUGGUGUGAAAGGCGGGAGCUCAACUCCCGAACUGCGUUGAGAACUGCAUAACUAGAGUGACUGAGGAGCAAUCAGAAUUCCAGGUGUAGGGGUGAAAUCUGUAGAUAUCUGGAAGAAUACCAAUGGCGAAGGCAGGUUGCUAGCAGAUGACUGACGCUGAGGUGCGAAGGUGCGGGGAGCAAACAGGAUUAGAUACCCUGGUA